This 128-nucleotide microRNA precursor is filed under the name Trypanosoma vivax Y486. The record is from RNAcentral. Lineage: Eukaryota; Euglenozoa; Kinetoplastea; Trypanosomatida; Trypanosomatidae.
GAGAGAGAGAGAGAGAUGGGAGAAGGGAGGGAGGGAGAAGCAAAGAAAAACAAGACAACACAACGACGGCGAAGAGUUACUUUCUCAACCCCCAGCCCAGCUUCCCCUUUCAACUCUCUCAUUUUCUC